RNAcentral lists this ribosomal RNA (112 nucleotides) under Lactiplantibacillus plantarum. Its description in RNAcentral is "Lactobacillus plantarum partial 16S ribosomal RNA". It matches the Rfam family "Bacterial small subunit ribosomal RNA", at positions 1 to 108 of the family's 1533-position model. The record is from RNAcentral. Lineage: Bacteria; Bacillati; Bacillota; Bacilli; Lactobacillales; Lactobacillaceae.
AUUAAUUUGAGAGUUUGAUCCUGGCUCAGGACGAACGCUGGCGGCGUGCCUAAUACAUGCAAGUCGAACGAACUCUGGUAUUGAUUGGUGCUUGCAUCAUGAUUUACAUUUG